Unclassified non-coding RNA from Cavia aperea (Brazilian guinea pig), 98 nucleotides. It matches the Rfam family "Y RNA". Rfam says of the family: Y RNAs are components of the Ro ribonucleoprotein particle (Ro RNP), in association with Ro60 and La proteins. The Y RNAs and Ro60 and La proteins are well conserved, but the function of the Ro RNP is not known. Lineage: Eukaryota; Metazoa; Chordata; Mammalia; Rodentia; Caviidae. The record is from Ensembl.
GGCUGGUCCAAUGGCAGUGGGUUAUCAGAACUUAUUAACAUUAGUGUCACUAAAGUUGGUAUACCACCCCCCCCACUGCUAAAUUUGACUGGCUUUAA